RNAcentral lists this microRNA precursor (96 nucleotides) under Cajanus cajan (pigeon pea). RNAcentral's name for it is "miRNA gene-KK1_027834". The record is from RNAcentral. Lineage: Eukaryota; Viridiplantae; Streptophyta; Magnoliopsida; Fabales; Fabaceae.
UAGAAAUUGGCAGGGCAAUUCUCCUUUGGCAAACCAGAAGAAAUCACGUGCAUGCAUGUUCUCUCUGCCAAAGGAGCAUUACUCUGUCAUUCCUCA